GCUCCCAUGGCGUAGUGGUCACUGCACUCGCCUUGCACGCGGGAGACCCGGGUUCGAUUCCCGGCGGGGUUG
This 72-nucleotide transfer RNA is filed under the name Diaphorina citri (Asian citrus psyllid). It matches the Rfam family "tRNA". From Rfam's summary of the family: Transfer RNA (tRNA) molecules are approximately 80 nucleotides in length. Their secondary structure includes four short double-helical elements and three loops (D, anti-codon, and T loops). Lineage: Eukaryota; Metazoa; Arthropoda; Insecta; Hemiptera; Psyllidae. The record is from Rfam by way of RNAcentral.